RNAcentral lists this ribosomal RNA (489 nucleotides) under Neisseria flavescens. RNAcentral's name for it is "bacterial SSU rRNA". It matches the Rfam family "Bacterial small subunit ribosomal RNA", at positions 50 to 501 of the family's 1533-position model. The record is from RNAcentral. Lineage: Bacteria; Pseudomonadati; Pseudomonadota; Betaproteobacteria; Neisseriales; Neisseriaceae.
UACACAUGCAAGUCGAACGGCAGCACAGAGGAAGCUUGCUUUCUUGGGUGGCGAGUUGGCGAAACCGGGGUUGAGUUAAAUAAUAAUUCGGGAAAACGUACGAGUUAAAUGGGGGGAUAUAACUUAUUCGAGAAUAGCCUUAAAUACCGCAUAUUACCUCUGAGGAGGAAAGCAGGGGACCUUCGGGCCUUGCGUUAUUCGAGCGGCCGAUAUCUGAUUAGCUAGUUGGUGGGGUAAAGGCCUACCAAGGCGACGAUCAGUAGCGGGUCUGAGAGGAUGAUCCGCCACACUGGGACUGAGACACGGCCCAGACUCCUACGGGAGGCAGCAGUGGGGAAUUUUUGGACAAUGGGCGCAAGCCUGAUCCAGCCAUGCCGCGUGUCUGAAGAAGGCCUUCGGGUUGUAAAGGACUUUUGUCAGGGAAGAAAAGGUCUGUUGCUAAUAUCGACAGCUGAUGACGGUACCCUGAAGCAAUAAGCACCGGCUAAC